CAGUAGCCGCGGUAAUACGAAGGGUGCAAGCGUUACUCGGAAUUACUGGGCGUAAAGCGUGCGUAGGUGGUGGUUUAAGUCCGUUGUGAAAGCCCUGGGCUCAACCUGGGAAUUGCAGUGGAUACUGGGUCACUAGAGUGUGGUAGAGGAUAGUGGAAUUUCCGGUGUAGCGGUGAAAUGCGUAGAGAUCGGAAGGAACAUCUGUGGCGAAGGCGACUAUCUGGGCCAACACUGACACUGAGGCACGAAAGCGUGGGGAGCAAACAGGAUUAGAUACCCGUUAGUCCCUGUCUCUUAUAAA
This 301-nucleotide ribosomal RNA is filed under the name uncultured bacterium. Its description in RNAcentral is "partial 16S ribosomal RNA". It matches the Rfam family "Bacterial small subunit ribosomal RNA", at positions 509 to 810 of the family's 1533-position model. The record is from RNAcentral.